UACGUAGGGACCAAGCGUUGUUCGGAUUUACUGGGCGUAAAGGGCGCGUAGGCGGCAUGACAAGUCACUUGUGAAAUCUCCGGGCUUAACUCGGAACGGCCAAGUGAUACUGUCGCGCUAGAGUGCAGAAGGGGCAAUCGGAAUUCUUGGUGUAGCGGUGAAAUGCGUAGAUAUCAAGAGGAACACCUGAGGUGAAGACGGGUUGCUGGGCUGACACUGACGCUGAGGCGCGAAAGCUAGGGUAGCAAACGGG
Molecule: ribosomal RNA, 253 nt
Filed under: uncultured bacterium
Lineage: Bacteria
Also listed under: 1 other name
Description: partial 16S ribosomal RNA
Rfam family: Bacterial small subunit ribosomal RNA
Source: RNAcentral